Molecule: long non-coding RNA, 434 nt
Filed under: Mytilus galloprovincialis (Mediterranean mussel)
Lineage: Eukaryota; Metazoa; Mollusca; Bivalvia; Mytilida; Mytilidae
Source: RNAcentral
GCGAAAUCUUAUAAAAUAUAGCAUAUUAUCAUUUACUGAAUUUUAGUGUGCUUGCUAAAAAGUGAUUGAUAUACAGUACGAGAUUAGAUUCAGUGGAGUCCCUACUCCUGCUAAUGGUUAGAUACACCUUAUAAUGAACAAAAUUUAUAGGUUACACUAUGAGAAAAAAAAAAUCUACUAUUGCGCCAGCUUUACUUUCGGUGUACCAUCCCUAUCAUACACACAUUCUCUCGAUUAAAUAAAACAAUAAAGUGAAACAAAUAAAUUUCAGCAGAACAAGACUAUCAACCAGGGUUUAUUUCUGAGUCAUCUCUAAUGCACCACUAACACACAAAUCAGAUUUCCUUUUCUUACUGUGCACAGACAGAUCGAUUGAAAAUUUAAAUGCUAGGAUUUCCAUCAUAUAAGUCAUACAUAAUGUUCGUUUUCAUACC